RNAcentral lists this ribosomal RNA (449 nucleotides) under uncultured bacterium. RNAcentral's name for it is "partial 16S ribosomal RNA". It matches the Rfam family "Bacterial small subunit ribosomal RNA", at positions 354 to 796 of the family's 1533-position model. The record is from RNAcentral.
GUGGGGAAUCUUCCGCAAUGGACGAAAGUCUGACGGAGCAACGCCGCGUGAGUGAAGAAGGUUUUCGGAUCGUAAAGCUCUUUCGUUAGGGACGAACGUGCUCUUUGUGAAUAAUGAGGAGUAAUGACGGUACCUAAAUAAGAAGCCACGGCUAACUACGUGCCAGCAGCCGCGGUAAUACGUAGGUGGCAAGCGUUGUCCGGAAUUAUUGGGCGUAAAGCGCGCGCAGGCGGGAUAUCAAGUCUGUCUUAAAAGUGCGAGGCUCAACCUCGUGAGGGGACAGAAACUGGUAUUCUUGAGUGUCGGAGAGGAAAGUGGAAUUCCAAGUGUAGCGGUGAAAUGCGUAGAGAUUUGGAAGAACACCAGUGCGAAGGCGACUUUCUGGACGAUGUCUGACGCUGAGGCGCGAAAGCUAGGGGAGCGAACGGGAUUAGAUACCCUUGUAGUCC